AUCUGGCUGGCUCAGUUGGUAGACCAUGUGACUCUUGAUCUUGGGGUUGUGAGUUCGAGUCCCACGCUGGGUG
Molecule: transfer RNA, 73 nt
Filed under: Canis lupus familiaris (dog)
Lineage: Eukaryota; Metazoa; Chordata; Mammalia; Carnivora; Canidae
Also listed under: 1 other name
Rfam family: tRNA
About the family: Transfer RNA (tRNA) molecules are approximately 80 nucleotides in length. Their secondary structure includes four short double-helical elements and three loops (D, anti-codon, and T loops). Further hydrogen bonds mediate the characteristic L-shaped molecular structure. tRNAs have two regions of fundamental functional importance: the anti-codon, which is responsible for specific mRNA codon recognition, and the 3' end, to which the tRNAs corresponding amino acid is attached (by aminoacyl-tRNA synthetases). tRNAs cope with the degeneracy of the genetic code in two manners: having more than one tRNA (with a specific anti-codon) for a particular amino acid; and 'wobble' base-pairing, i.e. permitting non-standard base-pairing at the 3rd anti-codon position.
Source: Rfam by way of RNAcentral